Non-coding RNA from Pelobates cultripes (western spadefoot toad), 244 nucleotides. The record is from the annotation of a GenBank genome assembly. Lineage: Eukaryota; Metazoa; Chordata; Amphibia; Anura; Pelobatidae.
CUCUACCAUCCCCUACCCAACACCCCAAUUCAAAUGUACUUUGGCAGUGGGUAGUCUGUACACUGCUCCCCCUGCAACUCGUACUGCCACGGAUCCGCCGGUGUGUGCUGAACCUGGAACCAAAUGGUGUGCUACCAAAGUCAGGGUGGCUCCUGAAUCCCGGAGCCCUUGUACUUCUUUCCCCUCCAGAGUCACUAGCUGGCGAUGAUGUUGCCUGUUGUCGGUGGCUUGAACGGACAUCACC